GGAUUCCCCUAGUAACUGCGAGUGAAGCGGGAAAAGCUCAAAUUUGAAAUCUGGCGGUCUAUGGCCGUCCGAGUUGUAAUCUAGAGAAGUGUUACCCGCGCUGGACCGUGUACAAGUCUCCUGGAAUGGAGCGUCAUAGAGGGUGAGAAUCCCGUCUCUGACACGGACUACCAGGGCUUUGUGGUAUGCUCUCAAAGAGUCGAGUUGUUUGGGAAUGCAGCUCAAAAUGGGUGGUAAAUUCCAUCUAAAGCUAAAUAUUGGCGAGAGACCGAUAGCGAACAAGUACCGUGAGGGAAAGAUGAAAAGAACUUUGGAAAGAGAGUUAAACAGUACGUGAAAUUGCUGAAAGGGAAACGCUUGAAGUCAGUCACGUUGACCAGGGAUCAGCCUUGCUCUAUUGCUUGGUGCACUUUCUGGUUGACGGGUCAGUAUCAAUUUUGACCACUGGAAAAAGGCUUAGGAAAUGUGGCAGCUCUGGCUGUGUUAUAGUCUUGAGUCACAUACAGUGGUUGGGAUUGAGGAACUCAGCACGCCGCAAGGCCGGGUUUCGACCACGUUCGUGCUUAGGAUGCUGGCAUAAUGGCUUUAAGCGACCCGUCUUGAAACACGGACCAAGGAGUCUAACAUGCUUGCAAGUGUUUGGGUGGUAAACCCGAGUGCGCAAUGAAAGUGAAAGUUGAGAUCCCUGUCGUGGGGAGCAUCGACGCCCGGACCAGAACUUUUGGGACGGAUCCGCGGUGGAGCAUGUAUGUUGGGACCCGAAAGAUGGUGAACUAUGCCUGAAUAGGGUGAAGCCAGAGGAAACUCUGGUGGAGGCUCGUAGCGAUUCUGACGUGCAAAUCGAUCGUCAAAUUUGGGUAUAG
RNAcentral lists this ribosomal RNA (863 nucleotides) under Smithiomyces dominicanus. RNAcentral describes it as "partial large subunit ribosomal RNA". It matches the Rfam family "Eukaryotic large subunit ribosomal RNA", at positions 72 to 920 of the family's 3401-position model. Lineage: Eukaryota; Fungi; Basidiomycota; Agaricomycetes; Agaricales; Agaricaceae. The record is from RNAcentral.